Molecule: ribosomal RNA, 669 nt
Filed under: Ceratobasidium cereale
Lineage: Eukaryota; Fungi; Basidiomycota; Agaricomycetes; Cantharellales; Ceratobasidiaceae
Description: eukaryotic LSU rRNA
Rfam family: 5.8S ribosomal RNA (bases 219-372)
Source: RNAcentral
GCCCGGCUUCUGAUCGAUGUAGAGAUCGGUUGUAGCUGGGUCUUUUAUCGAGGCCAUGUGCACGCCUUCUCUUUCAUCCACUCACACCUGUGCACCUGUUUAGACGGUCGAAGGAAAAAGUCUUUCUCGCGAGAGAGAGGGCGGGUCCUUUUCCGCCCAAUACAUAAAAUCUUAUAUAUUUUAUCUCAAAGUGAUCGAUGUGUACGCAUCUCUAAACUAAGUUUCUCCAACGGAUCUCUUGUGUCUCGCAUCUCUGAAAAAAGCACCGAAAUGCGAUAAAUAAUGUGAAUUGCGCAAAUCUCUGAAUCAUCUAAUCUUUGAACACACCUUGUGCUCCUUGUGAUUCCCCGGAGAACGCCUGUGUGAGAAUCAUGAAAUCCUCAAAGAGAGUCUUUUGUGAAUUCUACUGGCUUUUGUUUUGGAUAUGUAGAUCUUGCGCAUACUCGUCUGCGCCUCUCAAAUGCGUUAUCUGGAUCUCUAUAAAACCCGUGCUACUCGCCGUGAUAUGUAUCACUCUCUGAGGACACUCUCGUGAAAAGGGGGGCGGAUACACGGACGAGACGCUUCUCACGGGCUAUUAUAUUAUACAAACACACUUUAUGAGAUGAUCUCUCAUCACGUGUGGACUACCCGCUGAACUUAUGCAUAUCAAUAAACGGAGAAAAAAAA